This 324-nucleotide ribosomal RNA is filed under the name uncultured eukaryote. RNAcentral describes it as "partial 18S ribosomal RNA". It matches the Rfam family "Eukaryotic small subunit ribosomal RNA", at positions 1470 to 1796 of the family's 1831-position model. The record is from RNAcentral.
CCCUUAGAUGUUCGGGGCUGCACGCGCGCUACACUGAUGUGUCCAGUAAGCACCUAACCUCUUCCGAAAGGAACGGGUAACCUUUGCAAAGCACAUCGUGAUGGGGAUAGAUUAUUGCAAUUAUUAGUCUUGAACGAGGAAUUCCUAGUAAGCACAAGUCAUCAGCUUGUGUUGAUUACGUCCCUGCCCUUUGUACACACCGCCCGUCGCUCCUACCGAUUGAAUGUUCCGGUGAGCUCUUCGGACUGCGCGGUCUGCAGUUUCUGCGUUCCGUGCGGAAAGUUGCGCAAACCUUAACAUUUAGAGGAAGGAGAAGUCGUAACA